CAAGGUUGCCGAAAAGGCAGAGGAGAGUGGCCCAAGAUUUCUCACAUCCCAAACAUCAAAGUUGGUAAAGAAUUUGUACAAAAAGACGGAGUUUACCAAAUUGAUGAUGAUGAGAUGCACAAGUGUUGCUUCCACAUCUUCUUCUGGUAUUAAAAAAAUUCUCUAAAAUUGUCUCGGGCUAUAAAUUCUCUAUGUGCCGACGACCCCCAUUUCCAAAUUCCAGCUGAAGGUAUUUUCUGGCAUGCAAAGAGGGAAGUCUCACUUUGAAGAUAAUCUUGUCAGAAGCGCGUACGUUGUAUAGUAGGGAAAAUAAUUAUAACAUCCGAUAUGUAUGUAUAACCAAGAAUUCAAUCUUCAACUCUGUUGAGAUAUUAUAUUAUAUUACCAUCUCUGUUGAGAUGUUGUUAUAU
Molecule: long non-coding RNA, 410 nt
Organism: Prunus dulcis (almond)
Lineage: Eukaryota; Viridiplantae; Streptophyta; Magnoliopsida; Rosales; Rosaceae
Exons: 3
Source: RefSeq, a predicted model, not a curated record